This is a long non-coding RNA of Myotis myotis, 595 nucleotides long. RefSeq lists it as uncharacterized. The transcript is spliced from 3 exons. Lineage: Eukaryota; Metazoa; Chordata; Mammalia; Chiroptera; Vespertilionidae. The record is from RefSeq and is a predicted model, not a curated record.
ACAAAUUUUUGUGCACCGGGCCUCUAGUGUUUAAAUAGUUUUCUGUGUUGUCCUCUUUCCAUCUAGAAAUACGGGCUUUUGUGUAAGUCCUUUUCUUAUACUAAAUUUAUAUAAAAAAUAUAAACUUUGAUUAACAAAGUUUAAUGAGGACUAUAAUGCACGUGUCCUUUGAAAUCAUUUGAUGAAAGGGGCUAAUUCAAUAUAAAAUACUGCUUUUGCUUUGAAAUCAACACAUACACAUACUGAGUUUUAACAUGCUUUUGAUAGAAAGUGAGUCUGACUAUCUGUUUUUAGGUGGGUGCCAGACUUCAUAUCAGAUGUGGGACCAGUACACAGGUCAGGUCUGGCCAAGGGGCUCCCUGAAAGAGAGACAGAUGACCCAGUCUCCCUUACCUGGGUGGAGUAUGCAGUUUGUCAAAGAUUGAGAAGCAAUGGAAAGGCCAUGUCUACAGAGGGAGAAGGACAAUAGACACUAGGGCUGUGACUUAUCAGAAAACGAGGAGCCUGCUGACUAAUGAUCACUCUGGCAACUUUCAAGAUGAAUUAGAGAGUUGGGGUCCUGAAGAAAGAGAGAUCAAUGGAGAGCCGAAUGCAG